RNAcentral lists this ribosomal RNA (301 nucleotides) under uncultured bacterium. RNAcentral's name for it is "partial 16S ribosomal RNA". It matches the Rfam family "Bacterial small subunit ribosomal RNA", at positions 509 to 807 of the family's 1533-position model. The record is from RNAcentral.
CAGUAGCCGCGGGAAUACGGAGGGGGCUAGCGUUGUUCGGAAUUACUGGGCGUAAAGCGCACGUAGGCGGCUUUGUAAAUUAGAGGUGAAAGCCUGGGGCUCAACUCCAGAAUUGCCUUUAAGACUGCAUCGCUUGAACGUCGGAGAGGUGAGUGGAAUUCCGAGUGUAGAGGUGAAAUUCGUAGAUAUUCGGAAGAACACCAGUGGCGAAGGCGGCUCACUGGACGACUGUUGACGCUGAGGUGCGAAAGCGUGGGGAGCAAACAGGAUUAGAUACCCCGGUAGUCCCUGUCUCUUAUAC